CCUACGGGUGGCAGCAGUGAGGAAUAUUGGUCAAUGGGCGUAAGCCUGAACCAGCCAAGUCGCGUGCAGGAUGACGGCCCUAUGGAUUGUAAACUUCUUUUAUACGGGGAUAAACUUAGUCACGUGUCAUGUUUUGUAUGUACUUUAUGAAUAAGCACCGGCUAACUCCGUGCCAGCAGCCGCGGUAAUACGGAGGGUCCGAGCGUUAUCCGGAUUUAUUGGGUUUAAAGGGUGCGUAGGCGGCCUGUUAAGUCAGCGGUGAAAUUCUGUGGCUCAACCAUAGAAUUGCCGUUGAUACUGGUAGUCUUGAGUGUGUUUGAGGCAGGUGGAAUGCGUGGUGUAGCGGUGAAAUGCUUAGAUAUCACGCAGAACCCCGAUUGCGAAGGCAGCUGACCAAGCCACGACUGACGCUGAGGCACGAAAGCGUGGGGAUCGAACAGGAUUAGAUACCCGGGUAGUC
RNAcentral lists this ribosomal RNA (460 nucleotides) under uncultured bacterium. Its description in RNAcentral is "partial 16S ribosomal RNA". It matches the Rfam family "Bacterial small subunit ribosomal RNA", at positions 338 to 795 of the family's 1533-position model. The record is from RNAcentral.